This 81-nucleotide transfer RNA is filed under the name Exophiala oligosperma. RNAcentral's name for it is "tRNA-Gln (CTG) (tRNA-Gln-CTG-2-1)". It matches the Rfam family "tRNA". From Rfam's summary of the family: Transfer RNA (tRNA) molecules are approximately 80 nucleotides in length. Lineage: Eukaryota; Fungi; Ascomycota; Eurotiomycetes; Chaetothyriales; Herpotrichiellaceae. The record is from RNAcentral.
GCAUCAGUGGUUUAGUGGUAAAGUGAGUUCUCCAAAACAUCUUCUGACGAUGGGCCCCGUGUUCGAUUCACGGCUGAUGCA